UACGUAGGGGGCAAGCGUUGUCCGGAUUUAUUGGGCGUAAAGAGCGUGUAGGCGGCCAGACAGGUCAGCUGUGAAAACUCGAGGCUCAACCUCGAGACGUCGGUUGAAACCGUCUGGCUAGAGUCCGGAAGAGGAGAGUGGAAUUCCCGGUGUAGCGGUGAAAUGCGCAGAUAUCGGGAGGAACACCAGUGGCGAAGGCGGCGACCUGGGCCAAUAUUGACGCUGAGGUGCGAAAGCGUGGGGAGCAAACAGG
RNAcentral lists this ribosomal RNA (253 nucleotides) under uncultured bacterium. Its description in RNAcentral is "partial 16S ribosomal RNA". It matches the Rfam family "Bacterial small subunit ribosomal RNA", at positions 524 to 776 of the family's 1533-position model. The record is from RNAcentral.